This 690-nucleotide long non-coding RNA is filed under the name Mytilus galloprovincialis (Mediterranean mussel). The record is from RNAcentral. Lineage: Eukaryota; Metazoa; Mollusca; Bivalvia; Mytilida; Mytilidae.
GGUUACUCUAUACUGCAUCCCUUUUGUCAUGCUUCAGUAAUUCCCUAAAUAUAAUAUCAACCAAAUUUGUCCCACAAAAAGGGGGGCCUAUGCAUCCUCUAAAUCCUAUUUAUAAGUGGUCGAUAUUAAACUGGCCUAAGCAUAAACUUUAACAUAUAAACAGAAAACUGCAAAAGAUUGUAAGUUAUAAAACCAUGAUUUAGCGUUCAGGAUUAUUAAAAUCCCUAAGCACAUGCAUUGUCCAAAAGCUUAUUCAACUGCAUAUAAAUUAUCCCUGACCUACUUUUAGUGGUUCUCCUUAAACUGGACUUAUCACAAAUAUUUCAGUGUAAACAAAGGAAAUUUUCAAAGUCAAUAUGCCAUUACUGAGAGGCUGGUGAGGAGGGCGAUGCUCAAUGGGAUUGAGAUAUAUAUAUAUGUGUCCAUAACACAUUAUACUCUGCUUCCACAAUCAGAUUUCCAUGUUCAGUAACUUAUUUGUAAUUGUUUAAAAAACACUGACUUAAAUGAACACUUGAAAGUACAAAGUUUCAAGUUUAUUUGACCAUUACAUCAUAGUAAACUAUUGUACACAAAACCUUAACCUUCUCUACUGUUGUACAUCUUGAAAACAAAAUAAUUGAUAAAAACUAGUUUCAACUCAUUAUUUCAAAUGCCAAUGAAAUUUUAAAAUAGGAAUGAAAAAAAAAC